CGUCAAAUCAGCACGGCCCUUAUGUCCAGGGCUACACACGUGUUACAAUGGUCGGUACAGAGGGCAGCUACCUGGUGACAGGAUGCUAAUCUCGAAAACCAGUCUCAGUUCGGAUCGAAGUCUGCAACUCGACUUCGUGAAGCUGGAUUCGCUAGUAAUCGCGCAUCAGCUAUGGCGCGGUGAAUACGUUCCCGGGCCUU
Molecule: ribosomal RNA, 200 nt
Filed under: uncultured Sphingobacteriales bacterium
Lineage: Bacteria; Pseudomonadati; Bacteroidota; Sphingobacteriia; Sphingobacteriales
Description: partial 16S ribosomal RNA
Rfam family: Bacterial small subunit ribosomal RNA
Source: RNAcentral